Molecule: non-coding RNA, 246 nt
Organism: Phyllostomus hastatus (greater spear-nosed bat)
Lineage: Eukaryota; Metazoa; Chordata; Mammalia; Chiroptera; Phyllostomidae
Product: small Cajal body-specific RNA 6
Exons: 1
Source: RefSeq, a predicted model, not a curated record
GGUUGUUAUUUGUGCUGGAGCUUGUAUUUGUGUGUUUCUUAACUCACAGCGUUUCCCAGCCACCUCGCUCCCGUCCGGCCCCAGCAGCACUCUGGUGGGCACCAGGGCGCCAACCCACGGCGAUGCCCAGGUCUGUGCUCCUUGGCAAGCCCAGGGAGGACACGUGGUUGGCAUCCCACAGCCAGUCCGUGAAGGGACAUGAUUGCAGGAGGCUGGUAUCUCUGAUCUGACGUUUUGGCUGAGACC